RNAcentral lists this ribosomal RNA (492 nucleotides) under uncultured bacterium. RNAcentral describes it as "partial 16S ribosomal RNA". It matches the Rfam family "Bacterial small subunit ribosomal RNA", at positions 29 to 507 of the family's 1533-position model. The record is from RNAcentral.
AGUGAACGCUGGCGGUAGGCCUAACACAUGCAAGUCGAACGGCAGCACAGUAAGAGCUUGCUCUUACGGGUGGCGAGUGGCGGACGGGUGAGGAAUACAUCGGAAUCUACUUUUUCGUGGGGGAUAACGUAGGGAAACUUACGCUAAUACCGCAUACGACCUACGGGUGAAAGCAGGGGAUCUUCGGACCUUGCGCGAUUGAAUGAGCCGAUGUCGGAUUAGCUAGUUGGGGGGGGAAAGGCCCACCAAGGCGACGAUCCGUAGCUGGUCUGAGAGGAUGAUCAGCCACACUGGAACGGAGAACCGGUCCAGACUCCUACGGGAGGCAGCAGUGGGGAAUAUUGGACAAUGGGCGCAAGCCUGAUCCAGCCAUACCGCGUGGGUGAAGAAGGCCUUCGGGUUGUAAAGCCCUUUUGUUGGGAAAGAAAAGCAGCAGGUUAAUACCCCGCUGUUCUGACGGUACCCAAAGAAUAAGCACCGGCUAACUUCGUG